Non-coding RNA from Kogia breviceps (pygmy sperm whale), 691 nucleotides. The record is from RefSeq and is a predicted model, not a curated record. Lineage: Eukaryota; Metazoa; Chordata; Mammalia; Artiodactyla; Physeteridae.
CCGCAUCACCGUGACACCACCUCCAUUCAGGAGCUUAUCGGGCGCCCGCGGCGCUCCAGGACAACCAGAAGUCGAACUGCCUGAAUCACCCGGAGCUGCCGGAGCGAUAAACCCCAGGCCGGCUCCUCCCAUCGCACACCAGUUUUCGGACUCCUGGAGGGAUUGUUUGCUUAGCAGCCUCGGCUGGUGCUCCUAGCACUGCCUGCGUGGGGCAGCCUGGUACCACCUGGCAUUUUGAGAGGACCCAGGUACCAAGGUGGCCCCUUAAGAAGCAGGAAGCCCGGGGCCAGGGAGCAGGCGAGAUAAACACCCAUUCACCACAACCCGCUGCCCAUGGGUGAUCCCUCUGGGAGGGUACCCGGAAGCGGGCCUAGGGCAGAACCUGCUGGAAUGUCACCUGCCUCUGAGCCCGUCCAUAGCGGCCACAAAAUCUGCCUCCCCCUCUCCCCGCUUCCCUGCCCAUGGCUCAGUGGCCACUAAUCAGCUCCCUGUGGAAGGAGAGAGCUGCAUUUUCUGAGCUGCCCAGGUCUGGAGAACCUCCGUCGAUAGACCGAGUGAAUCUAGGAACCAGGGUCAAGGCCAAGGGUCCAGGGAUUCAGGCCCCUCAACCCGCCCCUUCCAAAACCAGAAAAGAAAGGUGUACACAGCAGUGUUUGGUCCCCCUCCCCUUCCUUGAGGAAGAGUCUCCCCU